This 301-nucleotide ribosomal RNA is filed under the name uncultured bacterium. Its description in RNAcentral is "partial 16S ribosomal RNA". It matches the Rfam family "Bacterial small subunit ribosomal RNA", at positions 509 to 808 of the family's 1533-position model. The record is from RNAcentral.
CAGCAGCCGCGGUAACACGUAGGUCCCGAGCGUUGUCCGGAUUUAUUGGGCGUAAAGCGAGCGCAGGCGGUUUGAUAAGUCUGAAGUUAAAGGCUGCGGCUCAACCAUAGUUCGCUUUGGAAACUGUCAAACUUGAGUGCAGAAGGGGAGAGUGGAAUUCCAUGUGUAGCGGUGAAAUGCGUAGAUAUAUGGAGGAACACCGGUGGCGAAAGCGGCUCUCUGGUCUGUAACUGACGCUGAGGCUCGAAAGCGUGGGGAGCGAACAGGAUUAGAUACCCCUGUAGUCCCUGUCUCUUAUACC